Molecule: ribosomal RNA, 253 nt
Filed under: uncultured bacterium
Lineage: Bacteria
Description: partial 16S ribosomal RNA
Rfam family: Bacterial small subunit ribosomal RNA
Source: RNAcentral
AACGUAGGAGACGAGCGUUAUCCGGAAUUACUGGGCGUAAAGCGCGUGUAGGCGGUUGGGAAAGUCCUACGUGAAAGCGCCCGGCUAAACUGGGCGAGGUCGAAGGAUACUAAACAACUGGAGUGAGGGAGAGGCAGGCGGAAUUCCGGGUGUAGUGGUGAAAUGCGUAGAGAUCCGGAGGAACACCAGUGGCGCAGGCGGCCUGCUGGCCCAUCACUGACGCUGAGACGCGAAAGCAUGGGGAGCGAACGGG